Molecule: long non-coding RNA, 556 nt
Filed under: Homo sapiens (human)
Lineage: Eukaryota; Metazoa; Chordata; Mammalia; Primates; Hominidae
Description: long independently transcribed non-coding RNA 1545 (LINC01545)
Source: RNAcentral
GUCUUGCUCUGUCGCCCAGACUAGAGUGCGGUGGUGCGAUCUCAGCUCACUGCAACCUCUGCCUCCUGGAUUCAAGCAAUUCUCCUGCCUCAGCCUCCCAGUGUAUAGGAUGUACAGGAUGAAAAGAUCCCAAGUGAGGACCCCAAUCAGGAGGCUGAUAAGGAAUGUUAAUCUGGAUUGGGAAGAUUCCAUGGCACUAGGCUGUACCACAGUCAUAGAAAGAGGAACUUUAAGAAGACUAAAGAGAGCAACACUGAACACUUUCCUGGACAGUCCUGUACAUGUUUUAUUGGUGAUGCCCAAGCUUAUCCCUGAACACUGGGAAAAGUGGGAAGAUGUCAAGAGAUAAAAGACAGAGGAUGACAGAUCUGAGAGGGACCGAGUGACUAACUUUCCUCUGCAAGCUCAAAGCAAGAAGUUGACUGCUUUUUCAUUUGAACUCUGCCCCAGCAUCAACAAAUCACCACUCUGGGUUUAUGCAACUUGUUUCCUAAUUGAAUAAAAUAAGCCUGAAUAUGAAAAAAAAAAAAAAAAAAAAAAAAAAAAAAAAAAAAAA